RNAcentral lists this ribosomal RNA (253 nucleotides) under uncultured bacterium. RNAcentral's name for it is "partial 16S ribosomal RNA". It matches the Rfam family "Bacterial small subunit ribosomal RNA", at positions 524 to 776 of the family's 1533-position model. The record is from RNAcentral.
UACAGAGGGGGCAAGCGUUGUUCGGAAUUACUGGGCGUAAAGGGCGCGUAGGCGGCCUGCUAAGUCGAACGUGAAAUCCCUGGGCUCAACCCAGGAACUGCGUCCGAUACUGGUUGGCUUGAAUCCGGGAGAGGGACGUGGAAUUCCAGGUGUAGCGGUGAAAUGCGUAGAUAUCUGGAGGAACACCGGCGGCGAAGGCGACGUCCUGGACCGGCAUUGACGCUGAGGCGCGAAAGCCAGGGGAGCAAACGGG